UACAGAGGGUGCAAGCGUUAAUCGGAAUUACUGGGCGUAAAGCGUGCGUAGACGGUAGCGUAAGUCGGGUGUGAAAGCCCGGGCUCAACCUGGGAAUUGCAUUCGAGACUGCUCUGCUAGGGUGCGGAAGAGGGAAGCGGAAUUUCCGGUGUAGCGGUGAAAUGCGUAGAUAUCGGAAGGAACACCAGUGGCGAAAGCGGCUUCCUGGUCCAGCACCGACGUCAGGCACGAAAGCGUGGGGAGCAAACAGG
This 251-nucleotide ribosomal RNA is filed under the name uncultured bacterium. RNAcentral's name for it is "partial 16S ribosomal RNA". It matches the Rfam family "Bacterial small subunit ribosomal RNA", at positions 524 to 776 of the family's 1533-position model. The record is from RNAcentral.